RNAcentral lists this ribosomal RNA (370 nucleotides) under uncultured bacterium. RNAcentral describes it as "bacterial SSU rRNA". It matches the Rfam family "Bacterial small subunit ribosomal RNA", at positions 524 to 898 of the family's 1533-position model. The record is from RNAcentral.
UACGGAGGAUCCAAGCGUUAUCCGGAAUCAUUGGGUUUAAAGGGUCCGUAGGCGGUUUAGUAAGUCAGUGGUGAAAGCCCAUCGCUCAACGAUGGAACGGCCAUUGAUACUGCUAGACUUGAAUUAUUAGGAAGUAACUAGAAUAUGUAGUGUAGCGGUGAAAUGCUUAGAUAUUACAUGGAAUACCAAUUGCGAAGGCAGGUUACUACUAAUGGAUUGACGCUGAUGGACGAAAGCGUGGGGAGCGAACAGGAUUAGAUACCCUGGUAGUCCACGCCGUAAACGAUGGAUACUAGCUGUUGGGUGUAAACUCAGUGGCUAAGCGAAAGUGAUAAGUAUCCCACCUGGGGAGUACGUUCGCAAGAAUGAA